This 253-nucleotide ribosomal RNA is filed under the name uncultured bacterium. RNAcentral describes it as "partial 16S ribosomal RNA". It matches the Rfam family "Bacterial small subunit ribosomal RNA", at positions 524 to 776 of the family's 1533-position model. The record is from RNAcentral.
GACGAACCGUGCAAACGUUGUUCGGAAUCACUGGGCUUAAAGGGCGCGUAGGCGGGUGAGCAAGUCCGUGGUGAAAUCCUCCGGCUCAACCGGAGAGCUGCCUCGGAUACUGGGCGUCUCGAGUGUGGUAGGGGUAUGCGGAACUAUCGGUGGAGCGGUGAAAUGCGUUGAUAUCGAUAGGAACUCCGGUGGCGAAGGCGGCAUACUGGACCACCACUGACGCUGAUGCGCGAAAGCCAGGGGAGCAAACGGG